Molecule: long non-coding RNA, 6657 nt
Organism: Bactrocera oleae (olive fruit fly)
Lineage: Eukaryota; Metazoa; Arthropoda; Insecta; Diptera; Tephritidae
Source: RefSeq, a predicted model, not a curated record
GAAAUUUUGUGGAACACUAAGAAGAAGGAAUACCUAUCCGAAUUUUCUGCAUUUUACAUUUCUGAACUGGCAACUUUCAGUAUAUUUUAUGUUUGAUGGGGAUCUCCCUCAAACUUUCGGAGGAAUACCCUUUAGCUAGAUUCGUACAACGCGACAUUUUAGGGAAAUCCUUUAAAUAUCAUAUAUAAGCAAAAGAUUGUACUAAUUUUCCAUUACUUAUUUAAAAGACUCCUAGUAAAAUGUUCUGCCCUAAAGACAAAUUUUCAUCAUAUUCGUAUAUCAUAAUGUAGUGGUUAAUAAGUGAUUCAGAAUUAAAAUGUUUAAUCUAUUUAUGUGAAAUAUAUGCUAAUACUACAAGAUGAUUAUAUUCUUAAAUUUAAAAGUGACGUGAUUUUUGUUCGGCAGAUUCAUCAUACAAUAUAAAUAUAGAAGCGCACGUGUGAAUUUACUAAAAUGGCUGACGGUAGAUCACGCUUGUCGGGACACCAAUAUAAAAACGAAGACUUGAAAAAGACGCAGAGCGACAAAACCAAGCAGGUGAAGGGGGGAAAGUGCUAUUGCAGAUCCAAGUGCUCAACAUCUUAUUUAGAUGUCGACACAGCCACGUGUCCCAAUAGAUUAACAGACGCAGAAAGAAUAUAUUUGGUAAAUAGAGGUUCUCCAGACCCACUGUAUGAAUUUAAAUUUCGACAAGAUAUCAAUGUUCGGAGGUUUACAGAUUACCAUGAUAAUUAGGAUUUAUACCAAUCGAGAAAUCUACAGGUCUGGCACUAACAAAAAUUAUCGUAAAACAACAAUCAGCACUUGGAUUGGAAAAAUAAGAGGACAAGAGUACGAUAAUGGAUCUAAUACGUUUCAUAAAACGUAUUGAAAGCGGCGUCCAAGCCAGGAUUCAAAACAUCAAUCCAAAUCAUUCUUUAAACUUAGUGGUAAACGACAUGGCAAAGUCCUCACUGGAAGCUACAAUAUUUUUAAUAUUGUGCAAAAAAUAUAUGUUUUUUUUUCACUUCAACAUUAAGGUGGUCAAUUCUUUUGAAGAAUAUAAAAGGUAUUACUCUAAAGCCACUUAGUGACACGAUUGUUUAGUGUUUACCAAAGCACAGAUAUACCUUCUGCUCAACCCAAAACGAGACUUUAUCCAUAACUCAACAAGGACAUGACAUAUGGCCAUAUUUUUUUUGCUUAGGUUGGCAGGACUGUUAUAUGUUUACAUGUCAAAUUUGAGCGCGAUCUGUCACAUAGUUUUUUUUUAAGGCACUAUAAACAAGUCAACCUCGAGUGUGUUUUUCGAAUUUUACUAUGGAAGUUAACGUUGAGUAAAAAGUGUUUGUUUGAAAUUUUGUUAUUCCAAAGGAAUAAGUGCGACGGACGCAAUGAAAAUGUUGCAGAAGGCAUAUGGGGAGUCUUGCCUAUCACGUACACGUAUUUUUGAUUGGUAUGAGUCGUUCAAGGACGGCCGAACAUCGCUGGAGACCUUGCCCCAUGAUCGUCGUCCAGCAACGUCAAUAAACGAAGAAAACGUCGAAAAAGUAAAGAAAAUUGUGUUGGAAAAUCGUCGUGUGACUGAAAGAGAGAUAGCUAGUGAGCUCAACAUAUCAAAUGGAUCCGUUCAUAGCAUUAUUCACGAUGUUUUGGGCAUGAGACGUGUGUCUGCUCGACUUGUUCCAAAAUCCAGCUCAUACGUCUCGUCUUGUACGCGAUUAUUUGACCAAAAACAACGUAAAUAUUGUUCCGCAAGCACCGUAUUCACCCGACAUGGCACCGUGUGACUUUUUUCUUUUCCCUAAACUCAAAUUGCCGCUUCGUGGAAAGCAUUUUCAGUCGAUUGAAGUCAUAAAAGAGAAUUCGAAGAAAGAACUGAAAGCCAUACCUAAAGCGGCCUACCAGAAGUGUUAGGAAGAUUGGAAAAAAAGGUGGCAUAUGUGUAUCGCCUCUAAUGGUGACUAUUUUGAAGGGGAUAAAAUACAUAUUGAAGAAUAAUUAACCGUUUUUGUUGUUUGAGCCAGUCUCGUUUAUAUUUGAGCAGGAGGUAUAUACCUCCACACGAGACUUCGGGUUUGUUGAAUCAAAUUAAACAGUUUCAAUUUUUAUGUUCUAUUAUAAUUCAGUACGAAAAUUUAAAUCCCAUAAACCCUGUCAGUAAAUUAAUGCUAACUAAAGAUUUUCAUUUAGUUUCCGUCAAAGAUUUCCACAAAAGAUUUCUUUGAAAACUCACGUUCAGAUGAGUAUUUUACUAAAGUUCUUGAAGACGCCAAAGCCUUAGCUUCUGAAAUUGAUUGCGAGGUGUUAGACUUUGAAAAUGUGGCUAGACGUGCACUAUCCAAGAAAAAGCAUUUUACUUAUGAGUGUGUUGACGAACCAAUCAUUGAGCUUCGUAAAAAAUAUAAAAUUGAAGUAUUUUUUCAAAUUAUGGAUACAGCCAUAAACUCUUUAGAAUUAAGACUUUUCCAGAUUUCUGAGCACAGUAAACAUUUUGCUUUUUUGUAUAAUAUUAUAUAUGCCUCAAGAGAACUCCCAAAAGAUGGAUUGUUAGAACAUUGUAAGAAUCUCGACGAUAUUUUAACUCAUGAGAACUCAAGCGAUAUAAAUGCAUUAAAACUUUGUGAGGAGUUGUCAGUCUUUUGUAUGUUUUCAAAUAGUAAUUUAUCUCCUCAAGAUGUUUUAAAAUUUGUAACAGAUUUAAGAUUUGGUCCAAAUAUCAGUAUUGCGCUCUUUUUAACUUUACCAGUAACAGUUGCAAGUGGUGAUUAUUUAAAGCAAAUACUUAAGUAUUUAAUAUAAAAUAAAUAUGUAGAAACAUUAAAGUGAAAAGUUAGUGUAUAACAAGUGCAUAAUAUAAAAGAAAAGAUAACCAUAAAUCGAGAAAUUGUAAAAUAAAAUUUGUGAAAUUUUCAACUUAAAAUGCAAAUAUCUCGAAAACUAUAAGUUUCCGGCGGCAAUAAUAAUAUAUAUUCGUGAUCUGGAAAAUCUCCUCUAUCCAACCAUACCCCUCUUUACCCUGAAAUCGUGGGAUGCUUAACUAAUGCUUAACUAAAAAUUUAACCUAAAUUUUAAAACAAAUUUUUUGUUAUGGCUUUUUUAUACGUACCGUAUGAACUUUAACUUAACAUGAACCGAUUGACCAUAAUAAACAAUUAAACAGUGUGGUCCUAAUCUUUUUAACUUCUGAAACAAUUUUAAUGAAAAAUGUUCAUUAUUCCUUUAGUUAAAGGGCAACAUUAGCCCAAAACAGGGAAAUACGCAGCAGUGAGUCGCAAUAGGUUGAUGAUGAUGAUAAACUUGAAAGGUACAUAACUAUGUCGAUAAAAAAAUAUAUCAAUUUCUGUGAAAUUGCCUAUAAAGACAUAUUGUAUACCUACUAACAUAAAAACACUCAUCAACUUUCGUAUAGGUACUUCUUCAGAAGUCCCAAUAGACUUCUUCUUCUUGAAUAUUGUAGGUAUAAUCCCAACAAUAUCACGUAUUUUAUGUAGUUACUUAUAUACUUAGCAUCCUACAACAAAACUAGCUUAUGACUUAUAUAGCUUUGUGUAUGUAAAGGGCGGCGAAAAUGAUCUUUGCCCGGGGCGGCUAAAUACCGAGAUCGGGCCCUGGAUACAUGGUUCACAAAUGCUAACAAAUUUGUUAGCGCAGAUUUCUAUUUCAGCACGGGUGAACACGAAAUUAAUGAAUAAAUCUAACAAGUUGUUAGAUCUGGAAUUCUCUAUAAAUUUUAAUAGAUGGCCUAAACUCAUUCUUAUGGAAAGGGGAUUUUAAACGACUGUUCCCAUAUUGAAGUAGAUAUACCUUAUUUAAAAAAACAUAUAUCCAAAAAAAUAUACAAAAUAAUAAGGAAAUUAAAUGAUGAUUUUAAUAUAAAUAAAUGAGUUUGGAUAAAAGUUUAAAAUUAUAUUAAAUUAAUUAGCUAAUUCAAUGACUUAUGCAACAAUAAUUAAUGACUCACAUGUACUGAAGAAGCGCAACCCAGCUGACAACUGAGGGAGAACCAGAUAUUCAGCCCGACCCUGCGAAGAAACCCGAACUUAAAAGUGAAGGUUUUUCAAAUAAACUGCAUAAAAGCAAGGUCGUCUCUGCCGUACUCCUCCUCAAUUCAGACAGAACCAACAUAUAUUGGCUCUACCUCGAAGAACGUUCUUCAUGUAACACUGCAUACUAGAAAUUCUUAGAAUACUAACUGGGAUCUGUACAGAAAGAUAGUAAUGGGGAAUUUAAGUAGACUCGAGAACUGUGACUCUUUCUAUGAACUAAAGGAGAGUCAUAUUCACGAAUGUUCUCAAAAAAGCGUAUAACAUCGCGUGCCCUCCGAUAGAUUCAAAACGUGGAACAAAGAGCUCGGAUCACGGAGGCGCAGUGUUAAGGAACUAUUCUAGCUGGCCAAGUUGGCCGGCAAAGAGUCCUUCUGGAUGGAAUACAAAGAUAUACUUAAAGAAUAUUAAAAAGAAAUUCAUAAAACUAAGAGAGAGUCGUGGACGAACUUCUGCGGCAGGUUAGAAAAGACAACCGAGGUAGCUAGGCUUAGGAAAUUACUAUCCGAACAUCCGAAUACCCUAGGCUACUAUGCAAAAAAUGUGGAGAGGGGACUAGUGUGGAGUACAUUCCUACAAAUAUCAUAACAAAGGAAAGAAUACUUUGGGCGCUGUUGAUAAAUUAUGCAUCCAUACCAAUGGACGGUAUUGCAGAAUGAAUGAUCACAAUAUACGAAGGAUGUUUAAGGCUUAACUAUGUACCUACCAUUUGGAUAGAAGUGAGGGUCGUAUUCAUACCGAAGGCCGGCAAAGGAGUCCCAGUUUAUUCGAAAUUAUAUAGACCAAUAAGUCUAACCUUAUUCCUUCUGAAGACAUUUGAACAAAUGCUACGCGUCUAUAUUAGAGACAACCUUUUAUGGGCUAACAUGUCGAAAGCACAGCACCAAGGGCAGAUCCUCGGCGACUGCAUUUCACUUGCUAACCUUAAAUACAGAGAGGGCACUAGAGCUAAAGAAUAAGAUCUCACAUCGCAUUAAAUCAGAUAAUGUCAAUAUAAGCCGGGAGUCAAUAGAUGUACCGCCUGCCGGAAAGCGACUGCAUACAUAUACUGGCUUCCAGGCCACAAAGGAAUUCCGGGAAACGCAAUAGCUGAUGAGAUUGCCCCAAAUGCUAAUAGUCUGGCUACCGUACCAGAACAGAAAAUACGGAAGUUUCUAAAAACGAUAUACAAUGAAAUUUCCGAAAAGUCUGACAGACGGAUCAGUCUCAACCUGACAGGUCACAACCUACUGGCAUCACAUGCGAGCCGUAUGGGCAUUAUUAACGAUGACACAUGUAGAAAGUGCAGAGAAGAAGGCUUGAGAGAGACGCAGAAACACCUCAGAUGCUUCUGUCCGGCAUUAUCUAGAACUCGACUUAGAUAUCUAAGAGCUUCGCAGUUCAAGAGACUAGAUGAAAUAUCAAAAUUAGAUAUCAAGUCGCCAUUAAGGUUCGCAAAAAGCGUUGACGUCCUGUAUGACAAAUACUUCAGCUCAAAUUAAACUGUAACUCCAUCUGACAUUGCUAAGGACCUAUGUAUGGUGUGACAGCCUGCCAGUAUAACCUAACCUAACCUUGUCGUAUCUGUCACAGCUAAACAACAAUGGAAGCAGAUUUCCUUUUUUUUUGCCCUUUGGCUUUAUAAAUACUACUAUAAUGCCUACUGCAGUUAAAAAAUUAAAUGAAUAUGACAUAAUUCAAAUUUCAUGAGGAAUAUUUAAAAUACAGGAUUUGUGGAUGCUUACAACAAUUUUUUCAACAAAAACAUAAAAUUAGCUAAUACUAUGUUCGCACCGACACAAAAUUCGUGUUUUCAUAGACAAAAGAGGUUUUCACCCGAAAACUUGUGUUUUCAUCAAUACAAAAUCUGUCAAACGAAAACGCAGUUUUCGCGGAAAACCCCUUGAAAACUUACAUUCCACUCAUUAUAAUCGGUGCCUGCUCUAUUUUAAUCGAUAUUAUUAGAAGACAUAUUAUAAAAGCCUGUUGCGUCCUUCACAAUUUUUAAAUGAAAACAACGAUACUUUAAACGCUAAAUGGUUACACGGUUUGGAAGAGUUGGAGACUAGACGCCAAAAUCCGAGUCAUGUUUUAUAUGCGUCUGACGACCCAAUUAACGGAGAAACUUUGUCCAUUUUUUGUCGAGUAAAAAUUUUAAGUAUAAUUUAUCAGGCUGAACGCAUUUAAGGCGGCGCUAACCAUAUUCCAAAAAUAUUUUAUUUUUAUUUUAUAUUUUUUUAAAAAAUUAAGAGGUAUUUUAUUUAUUUAUUUUGUAUCCUUUACAAAUUCUUUAAUUUUAAAAACAUUUUCGUUACGUACAUUGAAAUCUUCAUUUGUUUUUUUUUUUAUUUCUAUUUCAAUAUUUUCCAUUUUUUUUUAAUAUCAAACUUUGAUAAUUAUUUUUUUUCUUAUUAGCAGAAUCUAUCGGUUCGGGUGGCGACUCGGUUGGUGACAUUAUCAUCGCUGAGGGGGAAAGAGUGCAAACAGGUGAUGGCAGUGGAGAUGCAGCAACAAAUGUGGAGAUGCAGCAACAAAUGUUGCAGCCGUUUCCACCGAAAUUUCCAUCGGUUCGGAGUUCGUAGAACCUUUUUAAAAAUGUAUAUAUAUAUAUGUAAAUAUAAAUAAUAUAUUCAAUAAAAACACAUGUCUCUUA